RNAcentral lists this transfer RNA (69 nucleotides) under Afipia broomeae. It matches the Rfam family "tRNA". Rfam says of the family: Transfer RNA (tRNA) molecules are approximately 80 nucleotides in length. Their secondary structure includes four short double-helical elements and three loops (D, anti-codon, and T loops). RNAcentral also lists the same sequence under 5 other names. Lineage: Bacteria; Pseudomonadati; Pseudomonadota; Alphaproteobacteria; Hyphomicrobiales; Nitrobacteraceae. The record is from RNAcentral.
GGGAGUAGCUCAGUUGGUUAGAGCGCCGGCCUGUCACGCCGGAGGUCGCGGGUUCGAGCCCCGUCUCUC